AGUGAACGCUGGCGGCGUGCUUAACACAUGCAAGUCGAACGAGAACGGGCUAAAGCUUGCUAUAGUUGUCAGCUAAGUGGCGCACGGGUGAGUAAUGUAUAGGUAAUAUGCCUCUUACUAAGGGAUAACAAAUGGAAACGUUUGCUAAUACCUUAUACUCCUUAUUAACAGAAGUUAAUAAGGGAAAGAUUUAUUGGUAAGAGAUUAGCCUGUAUUGUAUCAGUUAGUUGGUGGGGUAAUGGCUUACCAAGACUAUGACACAUAACUGGUUUGAGAGGAUGAUCAGUCACACUGGAACUGAGACACGGUCCAGACUCCUACGGGAGGCAGCAGUGGGGAGUAUUGCACAAUGGACGAAAGUCUGAUGCAGCAACGCCGCGUGGAGGAUGACACAUUUCGGUGCGUAAACUCCUUUUAUAUGAGAAGAUAAUGACGGUAUUAUAUGAAUAAGCACCGGCUAACUCCGUGCCAGCCGCCGCGGUAA
RNAcentral lists this ribosomal RNA (484 nucleotides) under uncultured bacterium. RNAcentral's name for it is "partial 16S ribosomal RNA". It matches the Rfam family "Bacterial small subunit ribosomal RNA", at positions 29 to 523 of the family's 1533-position model. The record is from RNAcentral.